UACAGAGGGGGCAAGCGUUGUUCGGAAUUACUGGGCGUAAAGCGCGCGUAGGCGGCUUUGCAAGUCGGGUGUGAAAUCCCCAGGCUUAACCUGGGAACUGCAUUCGAGACUGCAUUGCUAGAGUAUGGGAGAGGGAAGUGGAAUUCCAGGUGUAGCGGUGAAAUGCGUAGAUAUCUGGAGGAACACCGGUGGCGAAGGCGACAUCCUGGACCGGUAUUGACGCUGAGGCGCGAAAGCCAGGGGAGCAAACGGG
RNAcentral lists this ribosomal RNA (253 nucleotides) under uncultured bacterium. RNAcentral describes it as "partial 16S ribosomal RNA". It matches the Rfam family "Bacterial small subunit ribosomal RNA", at positions 524 to 776 of the family's 1533-position model. The record is from RNAcentral.